AUUGAACGCUGGCGGCAGGCCUAACACAUGCAAGUCGAACGGUAACAGGAAGCAGCUUGCUGCUUCGCUGACGAGUGGCGGACGGGUGAGUAAUGUCUGGGAAGCUGCCUGAUGGAGGGGGAUAACUACUGGAAACGGUAGCUAAUACCGCAUAAUGUCGCAAGACCAAAGAGGGGGACCUUCGGGCCUCUUGCCCUCGGAUGUGCCCAGAUGGGAUUAGCUUGUUGGUGGGGUAACGGCUCACCAAGGCGACGAUCCCUAGCUGGUCUGAGAGGAUGACCAGCCACACUGGAACUGAGACACGGUCCAGACUCCUACGGGAGGCAGCAGUGGGGAAUAUUGCACAAUGGGCGCAAGCCGGAUGCAGCCAUGCGGCGUGUAUGAAGAAGGCCUUCGGGUUGUAAAGUACUUUCAGCGGGGAGGAAGGGAGUAAAGUUAAUACCUUUGCUCAUUGACGUUACCCGCAGAAGAAGCACCGGCUAACUCCGUG
RNAcentral lists this ribosomal RNA (490 nucleotides) under uncultured bacterium. RNAcentral describes it as "partial 16S ribosomal RNA". It matches the Rfam family "Bacterial small subunit ribosomal RNA", at positions 30 to 507 of the family's 1533-position model. The record is from RNAcentral.